AGUGGGGGACCUUCGGGCCUCAUGCCAUCAGAUGUGCCCAGAUGGGAUUAGCUAGUAGGUGGGGUAACGGCUCACCUAGGCGACGAUCCCUAGCUGGUCUGAGAGGAUGACCAGCCACACUGGAACUGAGACACGGUCCAGACUCCUACGGGAGGCAGCAGUGGGAAUAUUGCACAAUGGGCGCAAGCCUGAUGCAGCCAUGCCGCGUGUGUGAAGAAGGCCUUCGGGUUGUAAAGCACUUUCAGGGGGAGGAAGGCGUUAAGGUUAAUAACCUUGGCGAUUGACGUUACCCGCAGAAGAAGCACCGGCUAACUCCGUGCCAGCAGCCGCGGUAAUACGGAGGGUGCAAGCGUUAAUCGGAAUUACUGGGCGUAAAGCGCACGCAGGCGGUCUGUCAAGUCGGAUGUGAAUCCCCGGGCUCAACCUGGUAAAUCGACCGCCUGGGGAGUACGGCCGCAAGGUUAAAACUCAAAUGAAUUGACGGGGGCCCCACAAGCGGUGGAGCAUGUGGUUUAAUUCGAUGCAACGCGAAGAACCUUACCUGGUCUUGACAUCCACAGAACUUUCCAGAGAUGGAUUGGUGCCUUCGGGAACUGUGAGACAGGUGCUGCAUGGCUGUCGUCAGCUCGUGUUGUGAAAUGUUGGGUUAAGUCCCGCAACGAGCGCAACCCUUAUCCUUUGUUGCCAGCGGUUCGGCCGGGAACUC
Molecule: ribosomal RNA, 706 nt
Filed under: Klebsiella pneumoniae
Lineage: Bacteria; Pseudomonadati; Pseudomonadota; Gammaproteobacteria; Enterobacterales; Enterobacteriaceae
Description: bacterial SSU rRNA
Rfam family: Bacterial small subunit ribosomal RNA
Source: RNAcentral